CACAGGCAGAGGGAGAAGCAGGCUCCAUGCAGGGAGCCCGACAUGGGACUUGAUCCCAGGUUUCCAGGAUCAGGCCCCGGGCAGAAGGCAGCGCUGAACCAUGGAGCCACCCGGGCUGCCCCUGGAUACAGUAUUGAAUUACCCAGUGUCGUGAGUUUACUAUUUCAGAUUUAACCAAGACAAAUAGCUUACCACAUAUUCCCCUGUAUGAAGGAUUAUCUUUAUCUAAUUACUGAGCCAGACCACCAGGGUCUGGGGCUUGGAAUCAGGCUGGCUUGUUAUUUCCAUGCUUUUCAAGUACCCAUGGCCAAACCCAAGAGGAGGAAAAUAUUAGGGGCAGAAAAUAUAAUGCAAAUGGUGGCUAAAAUAGUCUUUGCUGUGCACAACCGCAGAAUAGAACCCUUCAUUUUAAGUUCCAAAUGCAAGUGAUUCCGAAUCACUUGCGGGAGCUUUUAAAAUAGGAACAUACCUGACUCCAGGAAACCUGAAUUUCAGAGAGUGUGUUCCAGCAGUUUGAAAUCUUACCAAGUUACUCUGUUUUGAAGACCCAAGUAAGAACUCUGCUAAUCCAAGGUGAGUGUUAGGAAAA
This 589-nucleotide long non-coding RNA is filed under the name Vulpes vulpes (red fox). Its description in RNAcentral is "lncRNA (ENSVVUG00000019413.1)". Lineage: Eukaryota; Metazoa; Chordata; Mammalia; Carnivora; Canidae. The record is from RNAcentral.